RNAcentral lists this ribosomal RNA (322 nucleotides) under uncultured eukaryote. RNAcentral describes it as "partial 18S ribosomal RNA". It matches the Rfam family "Eukaryotic small subunit ribosomal RNA", at positions 1470 to 1796 of the family's 1831-position model. The record is from RNAcentral.
CCCUUAGAUGUUCUGGGCCGCACGCGUGCUACACUGAGUGGAUCAGCGGGUCAGGUUGCGCGAAAGUGUUUCCUAAUCUUGAAAUCCGCUCGUGAUGGGGAUUGACGGUUGCAAUUUUCCGUCAUGAACGAGGAAUACCUUGUAAGCGCGGGUCAUCAUCCCGCGCUGAAUACGUCCCUGCCCUUUGUACACACCGCUCGUCGCUCCUACCGAUUGAGUGGUCCGGUGAGGCUUUGGGAUCUGAGCAAAGAGAGCGUUUCGCUCGUUUUGCCCGGAAAACUCAGUCGAACCUUAUCAUUUAGAGGAAGGAGAAGUCGUAACA